RNAcentral lists this ribosomal RNA (686 nucleotides) under Dietzia aerolata. Its description in RNAcentral is "bacterial SSU rRNA". It matches the Rfam family "Bacterial small subunit ribosomal RNA", at positions 35 to 737 of the family's 1533-position model. Lineage: Bacteria; Bacillati; Actinomycetota; Actinomycetes; Mycobacteriales; Dietziaceae. The record is from RNAcentral.
GCUGGCGGCGUGCUUAACACAUGCAAGUCGAACGGUAAGGCCCUUUCGGGGGUACACGAGUGGCGAACGGGUGAGUAACACGUGGGUAAUCUGCCCUGCACUUCGGGAUAAGCCUGGGAAACUGGGUCUAAUACCGGAUAGGAACUCCUGCCGCAUGGUGGGGGUUGGAAAGUUUUUCGGUGCAGGAUGAGCCCGCGGCCUAUCAGCUUGUUGGUGGGGUAAUGGCCUACCAAGGCGACGACGGGUAGCCGGCCUGAGAGGGUGAUCGGCCACACUGGGACUGAGACACGGCCCAGACUCCUACGGGAGGCAGCAGUGGGGAAUAUUGCACAAUGGGCGGAAGCCUGAUGCAGCGACGCCGCGUGGGGGAUGACGGUCUUCGGAUUGUAAACCCCUUUCAGUAGGGACGAAGCGCAAGUGACGGUACCUGCAGAAGAAGCACCGGCCAACUACGUGCCAGCAGCCGCGGUAAUACGUAGGGUGCGAGCGUUGUCCGGAAUUACUGGGCGUAAAGAGCUCGUAGGCGGUUUGUCGCGUCGUCUGUGAAAUCCUCCAGCUUAACUGGGGGCGUGCAGGCGAUACGGGCAGACUUGAGUACUACAGGGGAGACUGGAAUUCCUGGUGUAGCGGUGAAAUGCGCAGAUAUCAGGAGGAACACCGGUGGCGAAGGCGGGUCUCUGGGUAGU